AUAUGUACCACUUGAUUAUCUCCUCAAUAGAUCAUAGAUUGRCAUGGUUUGAUGCGUCUUGAAAGUGCUACCAAAGCUAGUGAUAGUCUAGAAUUAUCAUGUCARUUUAUGACCGUUAGGGAAAUAAAUCAUACGAGUAGUGUAGGUCGAAAGUUCUGCAUGAAUAYGGGAGGUAUAUUUCUUCCAAAAUUUCUUUUAUAAUAUUGAURCAAAAACCGAUAGCAAACAAGUAGUGUGAACGAAAGUUGAAAAGUACUCUGAAGAGAGAGUGAAAUAGUGCAUGAAAUUGUAUUGUCGUAAGCUUGAUUUCUUAAUUUUAUGAUUGUGUGAUUGUGAUUGGAUGUCAUAUUAGUUGACAAAAAAUUACGUAUGUUGUGAAUCAAAGAAGURRUUUAUACGAGUUGAUGGUUUAUUUAGCGGUCUGUCUAUGAUAGAUUAGUUGAAUCAACCUGAAGUGAGUAUAGGUUCCUUCGAAACAAYGAAUCRACAUCAAGAAUCACAUACAAAAUUAAAUCAAGACCCGUCUUGAAACACGGACCAAGGAGUUUAACUUCCAAGCAAGUCAUUGAUAGAAUAACUAUCAAAGGCGAAGUGAAAGCGAUAUAAUCUUUAACAGAUUAGACCUUAACAUAUUUGAUAAGAGUCUAAGCUUAUAGGUUAAUACCCGAAAAAUAGCGAUCUAUUCGUGAGAUGAAUGAAGGCAGAGGAAACUCUGCUGAAAGUUCUUGAACUGUCCUGACGUGCAAAUCGGUUGUCAGACUUGCGAAUAGGGGCGAAAGACUCAUCGAGCUAUUUAGUAGCUGGUUCUCUCUGAAAUAUUCCUUAGAAUAGCUGUCGUUGGUYUAUAUAUUARACAAACAUUAACGUGAAGUAAAGAGAAUGAAUGGGAGUAUCGGAGUCCGAGUACUUUGACUCACUAUCAAACUUUUAAUAUGCGCUAUCUUCUARUUAUCCUAAUAGUAAUUAGAAGCUUUAUACAAUGUUUUUAAACGACAAGUGGGCCGUGGUUUGGUAAGCAGAUCAGGCAAAGCGAAUUCAAUCGUAAGUUAAAUUAAUGUUAACUAAGCGAUCCUUUAGUCUAGCUCAAAAGGUAUUGAUAUGUGAAGACAAUUGGUUGAUGGCCAUGGAAGUCGGCAUUCACUAAGAAGUGUGUAACAACUUACCAAUCGAAUGUAUUAGUCCUGAAAAUUAACGUUAAGUAAAGGGUUCAAUUAGAUUUAACUACUUGUGAUUUUUUAUAAUGAGUAUGUAAGAGAGUGUUGUGAUAGCUGUGAAGUUCCUGUGUGARUGGRGAUGGAGCUUUCAUAAGUACAGAUCUUGGUGGUAGUAGCAAUCACUCAAACGAGUUAUCAUAUACUUGACCUUCGGGUYAGGUGAUUUAAGCUUUGAGGAACGUAGUGGAUAAGGUUUCCGUGUGAUUAGCAAUUGAGCACGGGUUAGUCGGUCCUAAUGUGUGGUCCUAGCAUGACUGUUUAGYAAAACAUAGAAAGGGGAUCAGGUUAAUAUUCCUGAACUAUUAGUUUAAUUUAGAAUGGUURUYAYUUCGGURAUAGCAAAAGCGGUGACGCUAACUAUUUAACCUUUAACCUCCAAAUGAACCUUCGGAAGAGUUUUCUUCUCUUUUUAACAAGAUUAAAAAUCUAUYGAUUUCUCUUUCGGGAGUCACRAUUAGGUGGAUGACUAUGGAGUUUACGUAAAGUGGAGAAAUAGUCAUCGGACAUCUUGGAAUGCAUGUUUAAAAUUGUUGCUYUCGGGUAGCAAUUUAGACUUGGAAGUGUUUUAUUUGGAGCCUUAGAUAAAUUGUUCGAAGUAUAUU
RNAcentral lists this ribosomal RNA (1816 nucleotides) under Nonamonas santamariensis. Its description in RNAcentral is "partial large subunit ribosomal RNA". Lineage: Eukaryota; Heterolobosea; Eutetramitea; Percolomonadida; Barbeliidae. The record is from RNAcentral.